Molecule: transfer RNA, 92 nt
Filed under: Actinoplanes siamensis
Lineage: Bacteria; Bacillati; Actinomycetota; Actinomycetes; Micromonosporales; Micromonosporaceae
Description: tRNA-Ala
Source: RNAcentral
CUGCCGGUGGUGGUGGCGCAGACGUACCGGGUGCUGGCGCCGGCCGAGCAGCGGGCGUUGCGGCUGCUGGCGAUGUUCCGCCACCGGUGGUC